Molecule: unclassified non-coding RNA, 125 nt
Filed under: Oryza sativa (Asian cultivated rice)
Lineage: Eukaryota; Viridiplantae; Streptophyta; Magnoliopsida; Poales; Poaceae
Description: partial microRNA MIR472a-13-as precursor
Source: RNAcentral
UUUACAAUGUAAGUCAUUCUAGCAUUUCCCACAUUCAUAUUGAUGUUAAUGAAUCUAGAUAUCUAUCUAGAUUCAUUAACAUCAAUAUGAAUGUGGGAAAUGCUAGAAUGACUUACAUUGUGAAA